Molecule: ribosomal RNA, 492 nt
Filed under: uncultured bacterium
Lineage: Bacteria
Description: partial 16S ribosomal RNA
Rfam family: Bacterial small subunit ribosomal RNA
Source: RNAcentral
AGUGAACGCUGGCGGUAGGCCUAACACAUGCAAGUCGAACGGCAGCACAGUAAGAGCUUGCUCUUACGGGUGGCGAGUGGCGGACGGGUGAGGAAUACAUCGGAAUCUACUUUUUCGUGGGGGAUAACGUAGGGAAACUUACGCUAAUACCGCAUACGACCUACGGGUGAAAGCAGGGGAUCUUCGGACCUUGCGCGAUUGAAUGAGCCGAUGUCGGAUUAGCUAGUUGGCGGGGUAAAGGCCCACCAAGGCGACGAUCCGUAGCUGGCCUGAGAGGAUGAUCAGCCACACUGGAACUGAGACACAGUCCAGACUCCUACGGGAGGCAGCAGUGGGGAAUAUUGGACAAUGGGCGCAAGCCUGAUCCAGCCAUACCGCGUGGGUGAAGAAGGCCUUCGGGUUGUAAAGCCCUUUUGUUGGGAAAGAAAAGCAGCAGGUUAAUACCCCGCUGUUCUGACGGUACCCAAAGAAUAAGCACCGGCUAACUUCGUG